Long non-coding RNA from Rhagoletis zephyria (snowberry fruit fly), 440 nucleotides. RefSeq lists it as uncharacterized. Lineage: Eukaryota; Metazoa; Arthropoda; Insecta; Diptera; Tephritidae. The record is from RefSeq and is a predicted model, not a curated record.
CCUAAAUCGGAGCACGGCUCUAAGUGAAUCACUUUAGUUGAGAAAGAAAUAAAAACACAAACGUAUCCUUUGAGCAACGGUGACUUUCGAAGUGGUGAUGAUUUGAAAUCGAACGGUCCUGCAAAAUCAAGACCGGUGUUGAACGCUCUGGCGGUGCUCUUGAAUUCGCAACUUUUUGUUAUCGAUAAGUUCCAUUCCUCACUUUGUUUCUGGUAUAGCAAAACAGCUGUUUUAGCUAUUUCAACAAGUUAUAAAUUAACAAAAAUGCCUUUCAUUUUUUCACUAGCGUGUUUUGAAGCAAAAAGAUUAAAGAAAAAGACAGAAUUGAGGAGACUAAAGCAUUUAAGGGCAAGGUCAGAUAUUUGUACUAUGCCAGACGAAAGUUUCUUAAAGUCAUUCCGGGUGGACAAAGACACGUUUAAAAUUAUUCUACAAAAGCU